ACCAGACUCCUACGGGAGGCAGCAGUGGGGAAUAUUGCACAAUGGGGGAAACCCUGAUGCAGCGACGCCGCGUGAGUGAAGAAGUAUUUCGGUAUGUAAAGCUCUCUCAGCAGGGAAGAAGAAGGACGGUACCUGAGUAAGAAGCCCCGGCUAACUACGUGCCAGCAGCCGCGGUAAUACGUAGGGGGCAAGCGUUAUCCGGAUUUACUGGGUGUAAAGGGGGCGCAGACGGCGAUGCAAGCCAGGAGUGAAAGCCCGGGGCCCAACCCCGGGACUGCUCUUGGAACUGCGUGGCUGGAGUGCAGGAGGGGCAGGCGGAAUUCCUGGUGUAGCGGUGAAAUGCGUAGAUAUCAGGAGGAACACCGGUGGCGAAGGCGGCCUGCUGGACUGCAACUGACGUUGAGGCCCGAAAGCGCGGGGAGCAAACAGGAUUAGAUACCCCAGUA
Molecule: ribosomal RNA, 446 nt
Filed under: uncultured bacterium
Lineage: Bacteria
Description: bacterial SSU rRNA
Rfam family: Bacterial small subunit ribosomal RNA
Source: RNAcentral